Molecule: long non-coding RNA, 717 nt
Organism: Callorhinchus milii (elephant shark)
Lineage: Eukaryota; Metazoa; Chordata; Chondrichthyes; Chimaeriformes; Callorhinchidae
Exons: 3
Source: RefSeq, a predicted model, not a curated record
AAGUGACGAAACCCUGCGAGCGCGGAGGUGGUGCUCGCCGCUGAAGAGCCGCCGCCGCCGCCGACGGCGGGGACGGACGUGAAAGGAAGAGGAGGCGGGAGCUGAUGGCAGGCAUUUCAAUGCCGGUUCAGAGCUCCUGGAAAUGCAACGGAAGGAUUUCUUACAGGCCAUUGCCGAUAUCCAGCACUGAGCUACCAGGCUGUGAGGUGGAUUUCUGGCAAAAAGGGGAGAUGGCUGCAUAGGGGAGACUUGAAUUAAGCAUGUUGGAACAAGUAAGCCUGGAAUUCAAGUUUGUUUCUUUACCUUGAUCAUCACUUGCUCCUUCCCCUUGAAGAUAUUGCAGCAUACCAAAACUGUGUCACCUACCAUUUUUUAUGAACAACUAGAUACCCCAGCAGUUAAACUACUAAAGUUGGCCUUAGGAAGGUGAAGUUUGAACCGCUCUUGAUUGAUAUCCAGUAACAAUUGUUGUAUAUGGAUAUUGCAUACAAUGUGAUUAAAAGACUCAAGAUUCUUGCAUACUGCAACGGUGUGAAUAAUAUAAUCCUGAGUUUGCUAGGAAUAGUAUCUUACUUUUGUAGAUUUGUUUGAGAUGACCAUGAUAGUCCCAUCAGAUUACCCAAUUUCACUUUUUAAAAAGAAAUUAGGUGGCCCUUGUUGAGAUUAUUUGAUUGAUUAAAAACAAUUUAGAACAUUUAUGAGGAUUUGUUAACCAUG